RNAcentral lists this non-coding RNA (101 nucleotides) under Heliomicrobium modesticaldum. Its description in RNAcentral is "Heliobacterium modesticaldum Glycine sequence". It matches the Rfam family "Glycine riboswitch aptamer". Rfam says of the family: This family represents the bacterial glycine riboswitch. Glycine riboswitches usually consist of two metabolite-binding aptamers domains with similar structures in tandem. The aptamers cooperatively bind glycine to regulate the expression of downstream genes. Lineage: Bacteria; Bacillati; Bacillota; Clostridia; Eubacteriales; Heliobacteriaceae. The record is from RNAcentral. RNAcentral also lists the same sequence under 1 other name.
GGACGAAACUCUGGAGAGACCCUGCCAGACAGGGCGCCGAAGGGGCAAAGCGGUCAGACUUUACCGUUAAAUCUCUCAGGCAAAAGGACAGAGCAAGUGCG